This 239-nucleotide unclassified non-coding RNA is filed under the name uncultured Tilletia. Its description in RNAcentral is "sequence contains ITS2". RNAcentral also lists the same sequence under 1 other name. Lineage: Eukaryota; Fungi; Basidiomycota; Exobasidiomycetes; Tilletiales; Tilletiaceae. The record is from RNAcentral.
CAAUCUCAUCUCUCAACUUUUUUGUAAAAGAAGGUUGCUUGGAGAUGGUGAUGGGCGCUUGCCAUGCUGUACAAGUCUGGCUCGCCUUAAAGACAUCAGUAGCUCUUAUGGAGUCCGGUCUGACUAUGUGUGAUAAUUUGAUCGCAUAGGAUGUGCUUGCACAACCGGUCUUGUUGUUAAGUGUCUGCUUCUAACCUGGAAUGGUAUGAGAGUAACUUUCAUCCAUCGCAGCUUUAUUU